UACCUCAAAAAGCUUUGUAUUAAUGGGAGC
This 30-nucleotide non-coding RNA is filed under the name Mus musculus (house mouse). The record is from RNAcentral. Lineage: Eukaryota; Metazoa; Chordata; Mammalia; Rodentia; Muridae.